RNAcentral lists this ribosomal RNA (253 nucleotides) under uncultured bacterium. RNAcentral's name for it is "partial 16S ribosomal RNA". It matches the Rfam family "Bacterial small subunit ribosomal RNA", at positions 524 to 776 of the family's 1533-position model. The record is from RNAcentral.
UACGUAGGGCGCAAGCGUUGUCCGGAAUCAUUGGGCGUAAAGCGCGCGUAGGUGGCCCUGUAAGUCCGUUGUGAAAGUCAAAGGCUCAACCUUUGAAAGCCGAUGGAUACUGCAGGGCUAGAGUACGGAAGAGGCGAGUGGAAUUCCUGGUGUAGCGGUGGAAUGCGCAGAUAUCAGGAGGAACACCAAUAGCGAAGGCAGCUCGCUGGGACGUUACUGACACUGAGGCGCGAAAGCGUGGGGAGCGAACAGG